Molecule: ribosomal RNA, 253 nt
Filed under: uncultured bacterium
Lineage: Bacteria
Description: partial 16S ribosomal RNA
Rfam family: Bacterial small subunit ribosomal RNA
Source: RNAcentral
UACAGGGGGGGCAAGCGUUGUUCGGAAUUACUGGGCGUAAAGGGUUCGUAGGUGGCUUACUAAGUCAGACGUGAAAUCCCUCAGCUUAACUGGGGAACUGCGUCUGAUACUGGAAAGCUUGAGUGCAGGAGAGGAACGCGGAAUUCCAGGUGUAGCGGUGAAAUGCGUAGAUAUCUGGAGGAACACCGGUGGCGAAGGCGGCGUUCUGGACUGUAACUGACACUGAUGAACGAAAGCCAGGGGAGCAAACGGG